GAUGAACGCUGGCGGCGUGCCUAAUACAUGCAAGUCGAGCGAACGGACGAGAAGUUUGCUCGCCCGAUGUCAGCGGGGGAGGGGAGAGGAACACGUGGACAACCUAACUAAAAGAAAGGGAUAACUAUGGGAAACCGUAGCUAAUAACGGAAAAUAUUUUGAACAGCAUUGUGCAAAAGUGAAAGAAGGUCUUUGUGUCACUUAUAGAUGGAUCAGCAGUGCAUUAUCUAGUUGGCGAGGUAACAGCUUACCAAGGCUAGGAGGCAUAGCCGACCUAAGAGGGUCGUUGGCCACCCUGGAACAGAGACACGGCCCCGACACCGGCGGGAGGAAGCAGUAGGGAAUCUUACGCGAAGGGGGAGUGGCGGACAGAGCAACAUCGCGUGAGUGAUGAACGUCCACGGAUCGGAGAACUCUGUAAUUAGGGAGGUACAUAUGUGUAAGUACCAGUGAACAUAUUGACGGUACCUAAUCAGAAAGCCACGGCUAACUACGUG
This 497-nucleotide ribosomal RNA is filed under the name uncultured bacterium. RNAcentral describes it as "partial 16S ribosomal RNA". It matches the Rfam family "Bacterial small subunit ribosomal RNA", at positions 28 to 507 of the family's 1533-position model. The record is from RNAcentral.